This is a long non-coding RNA of Condylura cristata (star-nosed mole), 357 nucleotides long. RefSeq lists it as uncharacterized. The record is from RefSeq and is a predicted model, not a curated record. Lineage: Eukaryota; Metazoa; Chordata; Mammalia; Eulipotyphla; Talpidae. The transcript is spliced from 3 exons.
CCAGGUCUGGUUGACAGGUGGCGGGAACCCACCCCACAGCACCAACCCUGGACAGGACGCUCCCACAGCAAACACACGCUUGUGGUCUACAUGUUUGAGACACGUCAGAUGUCUGCCUGGGGGAAAAACAAAACUGGCAGAACAGAAGAAUAGCAGUGACAAAUGGAGAGGACAAUGGAGAAGUGACAACUCCUUUGAAGGGAGCCUGUAGUCUUUAGCUGCAUGCAUGCUCCAAUGGUGACUCCAGUGGUUUGUGGACUGCUUUGGUGGCAAGAUGGUACAGACUGGCCUGAGGGAUCUGUUGUGCAGUAUGCUGGUAAAGCAGCUGCAUUCCCAUUCACUCACCACCAAAUGGGC